This 266-nucleotide ribosomal RNA is filed under the name uncultured Staphylococcus sp. Its description in RNAcentral is "partial 16S ribosomal RNA". It matches the Rfam family "Bacterial small subunit ribosomal RNA", at positions 96 to 355 of the family's 1533-position model. Lineage: Bacteria; Bacillati; Bacillota; Bacilli; Caryophanales; Staphylococcaceae. The record is from RNAcentral.
CGGCGGACGGGUGAGUAACACGUGGAUAACCUACCUAUAAGACUGGGAUAACUUCGGGAAACCGGAGCUAAUACCGGAUAAUAUAUUGAACCGCAUGGUUCAAUGGUGAAAGACGGUUUUGCUGUCACUUAUAGAUGGAUCCGCGCCGCAUUAGCUAGUUGGUAAGGUAACGGCUUACCAAGGCAACGAUGCGUAGCCGACCUGAGAGGGUGAUCGGCCACACUGGAACUGAGACACGGUCCAGACUCCUACGGGAGGCAGCAGCC